Molecule: ribosomal RNA, 459 nt
Filed under: uncultured bacterium
Lineage: Bacteria
Description: partial 16S ribosomal RNA
Rfam family: Bacterial small subunit ribosomal RNA
Source: RNAcentral
CCUACGGGUGGCAGCAGUGAGGAAUAUUGGUCCAUGGCCGGAAGGCUGAACCAGCCAAAUCGCGUGAGGGACGACUGCCCUCUGGGUUGUAAACGUCUUUUAUAAGGGAAGAAUCAAUGAUAAGUGUAUCAUGAUGCCUGUACCUUAUGAUUAAGCAUCGGCUAACUCCGUUCCAGCAGCCGCGGUACUACGGAGGAUGCGAGCGUUAUCCGGAUUUAUUGGGUUUAAAGGGUUCGUAGGCGGUUUUUUAAGUUAGUGUUUAAACGUCGGGGCUUCACCUUGAUUUGCCAUUAAUACUGUAAGACUCGAGUUAAGACGAGGUAGGCGGAAUAAGUUAAGUAGCGGUGAAAUGCUUAGAUAUAACUUAGAACUCCGAUAGCGAAGGCAGCUUACCAGACUGCGACUGACGCUGAAGCACGAGAGCGUGGGUAGCGAACAGGAUUAGAUACCCCGGUAGUC